AUGUGCCCUUUCUCGCCUUAUGCACAUUUUCUAAGCGACUAUUCAAUCUUUACCAUCAAAUCUGAAGACCCUAGUCCCAAAGCAUGGCAUGUCAAUGCAACCGAUUCUUGUAUCCUGAAUGAGAGAACAAAUCACGAACAUGCUGGCCAUGAUUCACUCUCAGUAGCCCUUAGUCAUGAAUUUAUCUCAAGGAAUGCCAGGUAUUUGGACAUGAAACUUGCCAACUGCGUCCAGAACGGCUUGUCUCCCGAUUUGGUCAGAUGGAAGAAGAAGCUGCGGAAAGUGGAGGAAAUUCUCUUAACUGGGCUUCCAAUUCAGGAACACAUCGAACGAGAGUCGAUUUUCUGUGAUUAUUUACCUAUGAUAAGAUCUAUUAGUCGCUCUGAGUGUGUAAGACUUGCUGGUAAUUCCAAACGCUCCAAUAGAUUUUUCAAUUAUUUAUCCAGUUUGAACAUGCAUCCUGACGAAAGCCAAAGAACCCUAAUGUGCAAUUCAUUUGUUGUUAUGAAUGAAACAAAAUCGAGUUCAUGAGGCAUUCUCAUCCAAAUACGCAUUCCCUCAAGGAUCUAGUAUUUUGAAACAUCAGUAAUUUGUCUUGAAGACGAAGAAGAAGGAAAGAGCUGUGAGUAGAAAAUACGUUUUUUAAGAUUGAGUUUCAGCUUUUUAUUUUUAGGUAAGAUGACGCCAAUGUCUAGUUAAUUCUGCUGCCUCAUGGCAUGGCAUGUUAGUCCUUUUUAUAAUUAGGCAUGUUUCAGCACUUUUGUAAUUUUUCUGCUGCAAAUUUCUCUUUCGCUGAUUUUCUUCUUUAAUCAUGGGUCAAUCUUCUGUGCCGAACAAUUCUAAUAAUCUUGAGAAGGUACAAUACUCUUUGAAGAAAAAAUUCUAAUCAUUGAACAUUUGUUAAAUCAUUUUAGAUUGUCUGAAAAAUUAAAAAAAUUGAUACCGUAAAAAUACUUUUGUACCAAAUUUUACAAGUAUAUUUUAUUUGUUAGCGUAGGUGAUGUAUAGAUCAAUUGUUUGAGAGGUAAUGUGUUUUUUAACUCAACGAAAAGGCGCAUCGUUUCAAUUUUAGUGUGAAUGGAUAUGAGUUAUCAUAGUAAUUUUAGAUGUUGGAUAUCGACUUACAAUUUUAGAAGUUCUGUCAAUAGUAUGCAUACAAAAAAAGGAUAGGCACAUUUUUGAAUUUCCAUCUCUUGAGCCUUCCAAGAUUCUGAGUUUCUUUGAUGUUGUGCUUGUACUACUUAGUUGAAAUAUUUUUUAAAAUUUUACUGUGCAGUAAUGUUUGUGAUUUUUUAAGUACUCGUGAUUGUAUUUUUGUCAUUACGAACUCAUUUUCCAUUCAAUUUUAAUGCGUUGUCAUUUCAGUAAAGUGUAUACCAUACAUCCUAGAUAACACAAUGAAAGUGUAACCCACAACAUUAUCAACGGAUAAUGACAUGGAUUGCAUUUUGCAAAAAGGAACCAAAAGCAUUCCAAUGUUGCUAAGAUUGUGUAUCUUAUAUUCAUUCAAUCAAAUUACUGAAAUCAUGCAAAAAAUUAAAUUUACAAAGGUAGUUUUAGUCUUUAAGUUAUAGUUUAUUGGAAGUAAAGAGGAAAUCAGUUUAGAUAAUCUGUGUAUAUUUGCAAGGUAAACAAACUUGCACAAUCUUAGCAACAUUGGAAUGCUUUUGAUUCCUUUCUGCAAAAUGCAAUCCACAUCAUUAUCUGGGAAUACUUCAAAAUGGUCAGAUAUAGCCAUAACCGCCGAAAGUGGCAGAAAAAGGAAGAAAAUAGCCGAAGGUAUGCGCCUUGAUGACAUAAUUGAGUACCCUUUCAUGAUGUCAUCAAUCGUCAACUGGAAGCACCCCAAAAUGACCGAUCACAGUUGAACCUAGAUGGAACAUGGAACAAACAGCAUGGAAUUCAGAUAGGUAGUCGCCGUCAUGAGGAGGAUGAAAACAGUGAAUAAGAAGGAAAUUGAAAUUAUUUUGCGUUACAAAAUAAUAUUAAAAGAGAUAAAA
This 2000-nucleotide long non-coding RNA is filed under the name Bemisia tabaci. RNAcentral's name for it is "lncRNA ENSSSA1UGG008728". Lineage: Eukaryota; Metazoa; Arthropoda; Insecta; Hemiptera; Aleyrodidae. The record is from RNAcentral.